UAAUGAUAGAUGUUAAUGUAUGAGUUGUUCUUUUCUAAACUAAAACCUCAGUAUUCAGGUUUAAUUGUGGCGUUAGCAUUUUUCAAUAAAUAAGUUGGUUUGGGGUUGCAGUUUAAGCACUUGUCUCUAAAAGGUUUGCCAUCACUACUAUAAAGCAUCAAGCAGAUUACCUAACCUCUUUCAGUCUCAGUUUCUCAGCUGGUAAAUGGAAAGAAAACAGUACCAGCCCCACUGAGUUGUUGUGAGACUAAAUGAAAUGUGCACAGCAUAAUAUCUGAAUUAGCCAAUGUCGGCUCUCAUUAUGGGAAAUAGUAUAUGUACUGACAUUGGAAAAUAUGGACCCGACUUCCGGUGCUCACAGUGGGUGCUUCCUCUCACUCCAGCAGAAUGGGAGACCCUUGCCACCAGGCCCACAGCUGCAACCCUGAUCUCUGGGGACCUCGGGGCUCCUGGGAGCCCAGUCCUCUCACCGGCCCAGCACCCACCAGCCAGCUCUGCCAGGAAAGGCGGAUGGGCGGCCCUGUUGGCAAAGAUCCAACCAGGGCAAGUGUUGGGGUCCAGAGGACAAAGGAAAGGGACAUUUCAAGGAAGUCCCUACUUCCUCCGAAACAGUGUUCCUAUCUGCUUCGCGCACAUGAUCUAUUGGGACAUCCUUCACGGUCCAAAUGUAAGCACGUCCCGGAAAAAAAUGCCAGCAUUGGUCUUGUGGUGAAAUGUGUUUCUUUAUAAAUGCCCUGAUGUUGCCUUCGAGCCUGAGGCAUGGGGAGAGGAAGAAGCAGACUUCAUGUUUCUGACCAAGGUGGCAGGCCUGGCUGGGCUGCAGUUUGUGGACCUCUGCUGUAGACCAGAGCCUGGGGUACAUCACCAGCGAGCUGCGGAAUAAAUGCCAGCCAUAGAAGAGACUGUGACAUCUUCAAAACAUGUGCUAUCAAAACAACAUCAUUCCCUACAAGGAAGAUGACAUUUACAAAGGAAAUGUGAGCCCAGGAUUGAUUGAAGGAAAUCAAAGAAAGCAAGAAGGUUGGGUUCAAGAGAUCACUGUUAGAAGGGUUUCUUCCACACAGCCUUCCUGACCCCAGGACAGUCUGCUUUCUUUUUUGUCACCUGGAUUUUCCUGUCCUCAGGCACCCCUUCCUUUACCCUAAAGGAUUUAGACCUCUCUAGGCGCAGGAGGCCAUGUUACCGCUGUCUGUGGCUUCCUGGCAUCCUCUGCUGCCCCCAGUGCCUAAGAUGCUGAGGGUCUGGUGGCCCAGAGCCAAGUGCACUGGAGCCACUCCAGACCUGUCUCUGGGACAGCAGCUGCGGCAUCUCGCUGACACCAAAAUACAUUCCUGAGGCGAGGGCAGACAGGCCACACCAGUGCAGGUCUUCUGCCCUCUGAGGAUCUGGCUUCAUCCUAAGGACACAUUGGUCAUGAGGACACCCCAAGUGCUAAACCCCUCACCCAGGAGAUCUCAGCCAGCUCAGCACUUUCCCCAAGGCCUGGGCUCACCCAGAGGCAUCCCCCCAAUGCCGCUUGGCUGGCCCAAGGCAGAAGUAAAUCACACAGGGAAGGAAUUUCUCAGAUACCGUAGCCACUGGCGACUUGACGGGUGCCAUGAAUCAGGAUUUCACCCCAUUUCACCUGUACUCUCCCUAAGGCAUGUGCAAGGCCUCUGGAGGCCAACAGUAGGAGAAGAUGAUGCAGGCCAAAUUCAGCCAGGGUGAGCAUCAAUGGUGCUGCCUCUUUGUCAACUUAUUACCUGAGAUUUAUGCAUGAUGCAGCCAGGUCUGCUCGGUGACACAUUCUAAUUUAAUUAAAUUUCUGUUGGAUUGAUGUCUGAUCAAUCAAUAAUGUUAAUGUUUUUGCAAUUUGGAGAUUAAAGUAUGGUCAAGCCACAGCAGUCCUCCAUCCACUUAUUUCAGAAUAUUCUUUGAGAAGAGGCUUGCCUGCCUGCCUGCCUUCUUUCUCCCUCUCUCCCUGCCUCCCUUCCAUAUGCAGGCAUUUAUUAAGUGUCCAGGAUGUGGAGCUAUGACAAGAUGGAAAAAUGACCCAGAACUGGAGUUCACAAGCCUGACGGAACAUGGGAAUCAGCUGGAGGCUGGGUUGGGUCACAGAUUACAGGGCCCAACCCCAGAGAUUCUGACUCAUUAGUUCUGGGGUGGAGCCCGGGAAUCUGCAUUUCUCUCAAGGUACCAGCAGUGCUGAUACCACUGGUGCCAAGAACCCCACUCUGAGAACCACAGGCUUAAAGACUAUGGGCAGAAGCUCUGGAACCACCAGACUUCAGAUCCCACUGAACUGGGCAAAUUGCUUGAUUUCUCCAUGCCUUGGUUCUUGUAACUCAUAGGUCCUACAGCCAACAAGUGAGACUCGUAAUGCCUGUAAGCAACCAGUACAGUGCUUGUCCUGCAGCGCACACCCACACCUGUCGCCUGUUCUUGCAGUGGAUUGCCAAGCCAUGAGACUCCUGUCCUCAUGCUCUUCUCUCCUUGAGGGUGUCAGGUAGUACACAUGUAGGGAUGGCAUCUGAUCUAAUCAAGAGGUCAGAGAAGACCUGUUGAUGAAAUGGAGCUGAAGUUUGAGGAAAGGAAGAGGCAGAAACAAAGGAGUGGUAGGUGUGGGAGGAUCCUUGUAGGCCAUUUUAAUGGGUUUGACCAGUAUUCUAGGCCCAGUGGGUAGACAAAGGAUAUUUUAAACCAGGGAGGCAACAGGACCGUGUUUAAAUGUGAA
This 2713-nucleotide long non-coding RNA is filed under the name Heterocephalus glaber (naked mole-rat). RNAcentral's name for it is "lncRNA (ENSHGLG00100047652.1)". The record is from RNAcentral. Lineage: Eukaryota; Metazoa; Chordata; Mammalia; Rodentia; Bathyergidae.